AGAGUUUGAUCCUGGCUCAGGAUGAACGCUAGCUACGGGCUUAACACAUGCAAGUCGAGGGGAAACGACAUCGAAAGCUUGCUUUUGAUGGGCGUCGACCGGCGCACGGGUGAGUAACGCGUAUCCAACCUGCCCAUCACUUGGGGGAUAACCUUGCGAAAGUAAGACUAAUACCCAAUGACGUCUCUAGAAGACAUCUGAAAGAGAUUAAAGAUUUAUCGGUGAUGGAUGGGGAUGCGUCUGAUUAGCUUGUUGGCGGGGUAACGGCCCACCAAGGCGACGAUCAGUAGGGGUUCUGAGAGGAAGGUCCCCCACAUUGGAACUGAGACACGGUCCAAACUCCUACGGGAGGCGA
This 355-nucleotide ribosomal RNA is filed under the name uncultured bacterium. RNAcentral describes it as "bacterial SSU rRNA". It matches the Rfam family "Bacterial small subunit ribosomal RNA", at positions 8 to 351 of the family's 1533-position model. The record is from RNAcentral.